AUUGAACGCUGGCGGCAUGCCUUACACAUGCAAGUCGAACGGUAACAGGUUAAGCUGACGAGUGGCGCACGGGUGAGUCAUGUAUCGGAACGUUCCCAGUCGUGUGGGAUAACUGCUCGAAAGAGCAGCUAAUACCUCAUCCGACCUGAGGUUGCAAGCGGGGGCUCGCAAGUCCUCGCUCCAUUGGAGCGUCCGAUAUCAGAUUAGGUAGUUGGUGAGGUAAAGGCUCACCAAGCCGACGAUCUGUAGCUGGUCUGAGAGGACGACCAGCCACACUGGGACUGAGACACGGCCCAGACUCCUAAGGGAGGCAGCAGUGGGGAAGUGUGGACAAUGGGCGCAAGCCUGAUCCAGCAAUGCCGCGUGAGGGAAGAAGGCCUGCGGGUUGUAAACCGCUUUUGUCAGGGAAGAAAAGGUUCUGGCUAAUACCUGGGACUCAUGACGGUACCUGAAGAAUAAGCACCGGCUAACUACGUG
RNAcentral lists this ribosomal RNA (477 nucleotides) under uncultured bacterium. RNAcentral's name for it is "partial 16S ribosomal RNA". It matches the Rfam family "Bacterial small subunit ribosomal RNA", at positions 30 to 507 of the family's 1533-position model. The record is from RNAcentral.